GAGACCUCAGGUCAGGCGGGGCUACCCGCUG
This 31-nucleotide ribosomal RNA is filed under the name Oxytropis pilosa. Its description in RNAcentral is "partial 25S ribosomal RNA". The record is from RNAcentral. Lineage: Eukaryota; Viridiplantae; Streptophyta; Magnoliopsida; Fabales; Fabaceae.